Molecule: long non-coding RNA, 649 nt
Filed under: Homo sapiens (human)
Lineage: Eukaryota; Metazoa; Chordata; Mammalia; Primates; Hominidae
Description: HSALNT0394245
Source: RNAcentral
CCCAAAGCCGAGACCAUAGGCUGAUGCUGUCCCUGACUCCCCUGUGCCGGGUGCUCUCUGGCAGACAGGCUUCUCUGCCCGCCACUCUCCACACGCUCCCAGGACAUUCCGGCCCGCGAGGAACAUGCCCCAUGUGCAAAUCCCUCAGGGUGAAUCCAGCAUUCCAAGAAUCCUCAGCCUCAAAAGUUCUGAGGCAGUGUGAUGUCAUGGGAAGAGCACGCGGCUGCCCUGGGGAGUCGCCAGGCUCCGCGUGAACCUGGUGGAGUGUUUCCAGGGGAAGGCCCUCGCCCUUCCGCUCGGCCUGCCAAGCCCUGCAGUCUCCCAGAUCCGGCCCAUGGACCCUCACUACAGCCUGCUGGUGGCUCUGGGCAUCCCCCGAGCUUCACAGUAGUUCGUGGUAGUUUGAAGUGUGGACUUUGGAGCCAGAUCCCCAGAGUUCAAAUCCUGACGCUACACUUUUAGCUGUGCAACUUUGGGCAAGUUCCUUAACUGCUCUGUGCCUUAGCUUCUUCCCCUAUAAAAUGGGAACAAAUAGAACACCCAUCUCAUAGGGUUCUUGUGAGUUUUAAAGGACUUGAUACAAGUGCUAUAUUAGUGUUUGUUUGUAAUAUUAUUAUGCCAUGGGUUUUCCAAGCAACAGAGCAUGAAU